CCUACGGGAGGCAGCAGUGAGGAAUAUUGGUCAAUGGUCGGGAGACUGAACCAGCCAAGCCGCGUGAGGGAUGAAGGUACAGCGUAUCGUAAACCUCUUUUGUCAGGGAACAAAGUCGGGGACGUGUCCCCGGCUGAGUGUACCUGACGAAAAAGCAUCGGCUAACUCCGUUCCAGCAGCCGCGGUAAUACGGGGGAUGCGAGCGUUAUCCGGAUUUAUUGGGUUAAAGGGGUGCGCAGGCGGUCUGUUAAGUCCGCGGUCAAAGCCCGGGGCUCAACCCCGGCCCGCCGUUGAAACUGGCAGUCUAGAGUUGGAGAGAGGUAUGCGGAAGGCGCGGGGUAGCGGUGAAAUGCAUAGAUAUCGCGCAGAACUCCGAUUGCGAAGGCAGCAUGCCGGAUCCACACUGACGCUGAGGCACGAAAGCGUGGGUAUCGAACAGGAUUAGAUACCCGAGUAGUC
Molecule: ribosomal RNA, 459 nt
Filed under: uncultured bacterium
Lineage: Bacteria
Description: partial 16S ribosomal RNA
Rfam family: Bacterial small subunit ribosomal RNA
Source: RNAcentral